This 13211-nucleotide long non-coding RNA is filed under the name Nicotiana tabacum (common tobacco). RNAcentral's name for it is "long non-coding RNA (NTAB_LNC002674)". Lineage: Eukaryota; Viridiplantae; Streptophyta; Magnoliopsida; Solanales; Solanaceae. The record is from RNAcentral.
AAUCAUGUAAGUAAACCAAAAUCAUGAGUCUACUAGUGUGUGUGUCAAGACCCGGUGUCACAAGUAUGUAGGUAAUCUAGUAGAAUAUACAAAACCAUGCUAGUCUACUGUCUGAAAGGAAAUAGAAAGAAAUAAAGGCAUAAGAGAGACUCCAGCUGCUGCAGAACGGCUCAAAAAGGGCAUCUCACUGGGAAGUCUCAAGCUGGGGAAUCAAGUCUACGCGCCGGACUGGUGGCCAGAUGCACCUGCCUCAAAUCAUGUACAAUCAAGUACAGAAGUGUAGCGUGAGUACAUAAAAUAUGUACCCAGUAAAUAUCUAGUCUAACCUCGAAGAAGUAGUGACGAGAGUGGACUUCAACACUUACUAGGGCCAAUAAUAUAAUGAUGUGUGAUUCUACACAAGCAUGAUAUAUAGAACUAACAAUAAACUCAGAACAAGAAAUAACUAAACAUGUCUUCCAUCAUAUUUAAGAGCCCAAAACACUUCCUCUGUUUAAAACAAAUGAUCUCUAAAGCAGUGAAUUUAUACCAAUUAUAAAAAGGGACUUCCAGUUAUAUUAUCACACAUAGAUUCCACCGAGAACUUCGGCCCGAUCCAACAUAAAAAUAUAAAAUGUGUACUGCCGACAGUCGAACAACGCGAACCAUAGAUGCAUCUAUUAACCGGCCGAGACGAAUGGCCCGCUCCCAUGAGAGUAGUGAAAAUAGUCACCCCACUUGCGGAAUAUACUUGCGACGCGGUUAAUUAUAAAUAUAACGAAACUCUUCUCAAUUCUUUUCAAAUACUUGAAACCUUUGAAAUCUCGAAAUCCUCAAUUUACUUCCAUUCAAUGCAAAUCAACAAGUAUGUUCAGAUAACGGUGCCCACAAAGCAUGAUGUAAGCCUAGAACUACCCAGACAUAACAUGAAUAGUAGCUAUAUACGGACUCUCACACUUCGUGCCUACGUAGCCCCCACAAAUAAUCAUAUAUUAAUUCAACUCACCUAUGGGAAAAUUUCCCUCUUACAAGGUUAGAAAAGAGACUUACCUCGUCUCAAGGCCUACGUCUAAACUCAAAAAUGCGCUCAAACCCUCAAAUCGGAGCCGAACCAUCCAAAAAUAUUCAAAUAGUGUAAAAACCAGUAUGUUCAAAAGUUCAUAUUCUAACUAUUAAAGUGAUUACCCAACCCCAAAUGUAAGAUUCCUAAAACCCUCGGGCCAACGUGCCCAGAUUCCCAAAAGUUUUGAAGGAAGUUGUUGACCCCCGGGCCAACGUGCCCGGAUUCCCGAAAUUUUUGAAAGAAGUUGUUGUCCAUGACCUAAGGAACAUAAUAUAUUAUUUUUAGUAAGUUCCAUAACCAAUUUCAUGGCCAAAUCACAUUUUUAUCAAAAACCUAUGUUUUCAUCUAAACCCUUGAUUUUCACUAAUUUUUACAUGUUAAUCCACCCAUAAUCUAUGUAUUUAACUCAUGUUGUGUAGAAAUUUCUUACCUCAAAGUGCUAGGUGAAAAUCCUCUUCCAAACGCUCCAAAAAUUGCCCAAGAGGUGAAGUGAAAUGCAAUAAAUGGCCUAAGUCCCGCAUUAAAUGAGCUGGACACAGGCCUCUGAUGUCUCAUUUGCAACACCAGGUUCGUAAAUGCGAUAAAACACUCGCAAAUGCGAAGACUGGCUUUAGCUGCUUAGGUAGCAAAUGCGAUGCAGGGGCCGCAAAUGCGAUCAAUGCUGAGGUCUCAAUUGCAGAUCAGGUGUCGCAAAUGCAAACAAUGCCCCAGUCGAGCUUCUUCAAAAUUGUGAAGCUCUUCACGAGGUUCGCAUUUGCGAGACCUGCAACUGAUGCCAAGAAACACCAGAAAUCAAGUGUGUUUUCACCCCUUUCGAAUGUCCGAAACUCACCCGAGCCUUCAAGGGUCCAUACCAAUCACCCACUAAAGUCUAGAAAUAUCAUACAAACUUGCUCACGCGAUCGGAACACUAAUAUAACAUCAAAACCACGAGAUGGAUGCCAAAAUGCAUGAAUUUACUCAUGAACUCCAAAAAUUUCUAAAACACUUCCACGCAUCUGAUUCCUAUCAAAUCAACUUGGAAUGACGCUAAACUUUGCAUGCAAGUCUUAAAUGAUAUUACGGGCCUACUCCAACUAACGAAACUAGAAUCUGAACCCGAUAUCAAAAAGUCCACCCUUGGUCAAACCUUCUAAAAACUACAAGUUUCGGACUUUCGCCAAAUAACUCCAAAAUGACCUACGGGCCUCCGAAUCCACUUCUUAUCACGACCUAAACCGAUGGGCUGCGACGUGCACCCGGUACCUUACUUAACCGAGUACCAAUGUAACGUAUCUUUCUUAUUACAUCAUCAUAUACAUGUGACAUACAGGCCUAAUAGGCCAACAUAAUCAUUUAUAAACUCAAAACAUAGGUUGACAAGGCCGUACAAUCUUUUACAUACACGACAUACGUCUACAAGCCUCUAAGAGUACAUAAAUGUCAUAAAGGUCGGGAUAAAGUCCUGCUAUACCAAACAAUACACGUCUAAAUCAUACUAACCAAACAAGCAACUCUGAAGCAAAUGGAGCGCACCAACAUCUUCCGCUGAGCUGAUAGCCUACCUGGAGGGCUCUCGACCUAUCUAUCGGGACCUGUGGGGAUGAAACGCAGUGUCCCCAGGAAAAGGGAUGUUAGUAUGAAAAAUGUACCGAGUAUGUAAGGCACAUAAAUAAGUACAUAACAAACAUGGAAGAAAUAUAGAAUAAUCGACUCAACUUGUAAGUCUGGAUAACUUUGUAAAUCAUAAAUUACUUUUAGCAUCAUGUAUAUGCGUAUGAAUGUCAUGUCAUGCAUAGGUAUAUGUUUCAUAACAUCAUCAGCCUCUAAGGUCAUCCCAUCAUAUCAUAUCGACCACUGUGGGCCAAAUCAUCAUCGUAUACCAAAUGAUCAGGUGGUGGUACGUAUAUAACUCCAUAACCUUUCCUAUAUCCCAUAUACAUAUAUAUACAUACAUAUAUACACUUAUAUAACGCCAUCUGUUCAUGGGUCAAUGUACAUUAAUGCAAUGGAUGAAAAGCGCAUUAAUAAAAUCUUUCGGAAUGUCAUAGGACCAUUUUGCCUUUGAGUAAUAUCAUAAAGUAAACUCUUUCCAACUUUCGUAUUUUUCUGAGACCCAUGAGCAGAUGAUAAUAUAUUAUGACACAUGGAAAUUCAAGAACAUAGAUAUCUCUAAUACUUCUAUGAAUAGAGUUAUUCAUGGAAUUUGCGCAUUUGCAUGUUUCGUUCAUAUUGUAUGGAUCAUGCCAAAAGAAAGAAGGGAUAGCCUUAAUAUACCUGGAAUAGGAAAAAAUACGUAUGAUAUUCUUGGAAAAAGGUUGCACUGUAUUCCCUUAGAAUAACAAAAUCUCACGUUACUAGUGUGCUAAGAAAUCUCGUGGGAUUUUGGUUGAAGAAUGAAAAUCUUCAUUGCCGCAACGAACUUAAUUUUCUAAAGAUUAAUUUGAAAUUGGUAAACAUUGAGUGAUUGUUGGCGGCUAAGAGUGACAGAGAGGGGUAAUCCCACAAACAACUUUCCACAACUCUCUAAAUCCAACAACCUCAAACUUAAACUAAGUUUGAGGUAAAGUGAUUGUUGUCAUUUUUUGGUUCUGAAAAUAUUAGAAGUGAAGAUUGUUGAACUAACAUAGUUUGCCACAUAGCCAAAAAUGACUACGAGUCAUUUUGGUUAAAACUUAGCUUGUCGCCACGUUGAAGGUAAGGUUUCUUGUACUUAUCUAAUUGUUUUACUUAAUUAAUAAUUUAUUAAUCUGCCACUAACCAAUAAUUAAUCAAUUGUCCAUGUAAUUAAAAAUUAUCCCAAAUUACUUAAAAUACUACUCAUUUUUAAUAUACCCUUAUACAUCAUACUAUUAUGAUCAUAUGGUACCUUAUAUGGUACUAGUCCAUAAAUACGGGAUAUUAACGCUCAGCCCGUAUUUUAUCCCAACAUGCCAAACUUGGACGAAAAUUAUUUCUUUGACUUUCUUCCCCUCUCACUUUCACGAAUUUACUCAUCACUUGUUUGAAAUAGCAUAAACCUUAUAAUCUCCAAAUAAUCUUUUCCUUGGACUGACGUCAAUUACCUUAUGACAAAUUCAACGUACAAUACUAUAGGGUGCAACAUCAUCGUAAUUUAAUACUUCAGGACGUAACAUCGACGAAAUAUUAUGGGGCGUAACAUCAUUCCCCUCUUUGGAAUAUUCGUCCUUAAAUGUUGACUGAUGCUCUUAUCAUUUUUAUAACUUAUAGCUCUUUUGAAUACCUUAAUACUCUCUUUGUCACUUAGGUAAUUGUUCUGUGAAUAAAUCCAAAGGCUAGGACAUUCCCCCUUUUAGGCCUCUUUCUCAUACCACGACUUAUGGUGAGGAUCUUUCCAAUCUCGUAGCUGUUGCUACCUUUUAUCAUGCAGUCUGUACGACUUUGAUCUUAUAAGUGCGCCUGUGCGAUUCUUCUCCUGUUUUUCCUCUAACUUUUGGCCAAUCUCUAGGCCUCACUUCGCAAAUAUAUACAAAGCUUGAUGAAGUGUCCCUAUGGGCAUUUGUAGGUAUACUAAAGUUUUUCUCUCGGUAUUUUGUUAAAAUUGCGAUUAUUGCUACAUCUUAUUUCAUAGAACCGGUUAUCUAACCGCGUAAUUUUUUCUGCAUCUAGGUAGAUAAUACUAUACCAUAACUCUUACUUCGAUUUAUCGUUGCUGAGAUCUGCUAUCAAAUUCCCGCUUACUCUUGUUGCUUAUCCAAUAUGUAUAAAUCAAAGUCUUUUAAUGCUUCCUCAUUACUAUUCAUUUUAAGAAUGAUGGCCUAAUCUUAUGUCAUACUUUGUAACUUGUAUUAGUCCAUUGUUGAUUGACCUUAAUUUUGAUCUAUAAUUUACUACUUGAUGACUUGAAUUCUUAUGUAAUACAUUGUUUCUAGGGCCCACGUCUUAUCGGGGACAUCUAGAGUAAUUAGAUUGAUCCACCUAGGGGUGAUACUAUAUUUCCAUAACUGUACUUAAUAGCAUCACAAUGUGACUCACCUUAUAUGGGUAUUUUAUUCCCUUACAAUUCGUGAAAUCCUCUUCAAGUCAUUAUUCAAUCAAAGUCCCAAAUGUCAUUCUUUAUUAUCCAUCAUAAUUACACCCUCAUUCUACUACCAGAGCAGCAUUCCAUUUAUUUUAAAUGCCAUUAGUCUUAGACUCCUUUGGGUUCAUUCAGGCUAUACUGAGCUUUGUAUAACUUAGAGAAACCAUCAUCACUGCUUGUUUUCAUGGGCUUAAUCGUGAGGACUUAUCCAUUCUCGUCACCUUCUUACUCGCCCUUUCUUAUCCUUAUUCCCGACUUUCUAAAACCUUAUCGCUUUACCAUACUUUAAUUUUCCACUUACACAUAUCCAUUUAUACUACUCACAAUCUCCCUUCAACUUGCUUGCACCAUAGACUUCCUUACGUUAUUUCUGAAACAUCGAGCGAGACAUCGCAUUGUCUCAAACUCUUUUUUUACUCUUGUAAUUUAGACCUUUUGGUACUUAGAAACCAUAGGUUGAAAGGUAUGCUACUGACGACGCUGCUAUCGUUCCUGUAUACUGAAUCCCCGCGCUUCUAGCCUCUUAUCCGCAAUAUGGACUAUUCAUAACCUUAUGUAUUUGAUUAUCUUGUAUGUUGUUCACCUUUUCCUUAAUUAACUUAAAAUAUUGCCUCACAUUCUUCUAUUUCUUCCAUAACCUUCCUUCCACAUAGGUAUAAUUUACCUCCAUAACCUGAAGCUCUAUUGUAAUACUUGCACCUCUGGUACAUACAUAAUCCGGUGGGAAGUUCGUAAUGGCUUCUUAUGAGUCUAGUACUUCUUCUAACUGGCUUCCUUGUAGAGCCAUUAUAGAUUAUGGUUGUUGUAUUAUUUUUCUUGAACAUCUGAUAUUAAGAGUGAUUCUGUCAUGUUCUAAAGCAUAAGUUCUAUAGUCCAAUAAUCAGACUCUCGAUUUACUUGGGUGUUGUAAUUCUUUAGUUUCUUCUUCCUUUUGAUCAGCCUUUACGUAGGCUUAAGCUAUCUUCUGAUCUGUGGCUCAUGGUAUCAGUUAUUACCUUAGCCUUUCAUGGGCAUUAUGGAAUAUCCAUGACACGAUCUUCUAACAAUUCAAUCAUUUGUCUAUGUCCUAGACUCAAUUCUUUAUUUUAACUUAUACCGGAGUCCUCUGUGGAUAUGUGAUUGUCAACAAAUAUGCUGCCUGGAUAAUGCUCCAAAAUCUUGAGUGCAUUCAUAACACAACUAACUCUAGAUCAUUGAUCGAAUAAUUCCUUCCGUUACUUCUCAGCUUUCUUUAAAUGUAAGCAAUUACUUUCUUUGGUCGUUCUGCCACUUGUUGCAUGAAUAUUUGGCUUAUCUUAGUGCCCGCAUAUUUUGAAAUUCCAUACAACCCAUAUGAUCUUGAAUAUUACUUUUAAUUCUUACUUCCCGUUCAUUAGCCACGGUAGGUGCCAUUUUCCUUUGGAAUGCUUACAAUGUUGUUGCGAGAUUGUUGCUACACGACCAUUUCCUCUUUAGGUCGUUGUGCUUAGGUUGAAGCCUUCUUUCUUAUCUCCUCAGCUAGUCUUUCAUUGUAGUACUUAGGGAGAACCCUUGACUCUCGUAAAACUGUGAGCUUAUUAUGGACCUUUUUGAUGUCCUUACUUGCCUAUAAUCAUCCGUAGUUGCUUACUUCCAUGCCCUUAUGCUUGUAUGGUUGCUUCUGAACUGAUAUUUUGACUGCCUUCCCAGUGGCACUUUCUUUUAUCCCCGUAACACUUAUACGGUACCUUUAACUACCCCGACUCUUGUUUCAAUAUAUCUCAAGUAUUAUAAUGAUAUUCUUCGAGGUUGAAUUCUCCAUGUUGGGUUCUACUAUGUUUAUCUUACAUGAUCUGAUGACUCGUCUGUAACCUCCUAUUUAGCCAUAACUGGGAUCUUCCUGACCAAUUACUAACUACUCGUUGGCCCAUUCAUAUAUCAAUAUUACUCGUAAUCUUUCUUUGUUUAUUUCCUUUGUCUUAACUUACGUCUCGCAUUGGUUCCUUAUUUAUUAAUAACAACAUGGGCAGGAACCUUUACUUCCUCUCCUUUACGUCGUGCUUUCACAACAUUUUUGAAUCGUAGCGUAUCUGUAAGAUUUGGAUAAGUGCCAUCUCAUUCCUCUUUCAUUUAUUGCAUUCUUCCUUUACCAUUCCAUAGUCACUAGAACCACUUAAUUCUGACUUAAUGUCACAUCACUCCAUAUUCCCCCUUUUAGGGGUGUACUAAGAGCUGAAGCCACGAGGAUCUUCAUAUAGAUUUUUUACCUCUUCAUCUUUGGCAUUGUUUUUCAACGUCAAUGAUCCUUACUCGCCUUGCGACAAUCCUUCUGUACUAAGGAUGACAAAUUCCCUUACUCGCGAGGUUGUCACUUAAUGUAACUGGUACAUACAGUCUCAUAAGCUUAACUUUGCUAACAUUGCUUGCUUUUAGGGAGGCGUCUUCCUGAAUGACCAUUCUCUGAAGUUUUCACGAAUCUUCUUCUAUUGCCCAUCCUAUUAUUGCCGGAACGCGAUAUGAAAUUCUCAUGAUACUGACUAUUAUCAAAUCACUCAAUCCCUAAUUCAUAUUUAGUUUAUCUUGUUCACCAGUCCAUAUUAAUUUCUAUUAAUCUGGGAUUUAACUUUUUUUCUCUUGUUAAUCGCGCUAGAGUUGCGAACUAAUUUCUUGAAAUGAGAAUCUGACUUUAAGGCCUAUAUUCUUUUAUUGUCUCAUGGCAUGUCAUCUUUUGUAUUUUCCUUCACUUGACUGUAAACUCUGUAAUAGUGUCAUCAUUUUUUUGACCUACCGUUAUCAUUCGUGUAUCACAUCUUACUCAUAAUGCUUCAUUAAAUCUCUUCUUAUCUCCCGCUAAUUAUCUAUUUCUACCACUUUACUCUAAAAACUCGAACAAAAUAUUCUUUUGCUUUUGGCUCCCCUUGCUUCAUCCCUUGGCUCUUUCAAUUGCCUAACAUUCUUUCUUUACUGCGGGCGGGAGAUACACUAAAGUAAUAUUUAUUGCUUCAAGGCUUCCAGUGCUCAUAUCUAGUUUUAAUAUUUUAGGGUGCACCAUCUAGGUGUCUCACAAGGAGAUCUAUUAGCACACUUGUUGUGACGACCCGGCCAGUCGUCUCAUGAAUUUCUGCUCCGUUUCCCCCAUUUCUGCUUCUUAUUACUUUGUUUAUCGGUUCUAUGUGUGAUCGGGUUGGUAGCUCGGGUUCGGAAAGGUUUUGGUAAGGUUUGAGACACUUAGUCUCUUUUGAGGGAGCUUAAGUUAGAAAAGUCAACCGGAUGUUGACUUAUUUGUUAAAGGGCUCGGAUGUGAGUUCUGAUGAUUCGGAUAGCUUCGGCAGGUGAUUUGGGACUUAGGAGCAUGAUCGGAAUGUGUUGAAAUUCCGAAGUAGAUUUAGGCUUGAAUUGGCGAAAUUGGAAUUUUGGCGUUUUCUGAUUGAUAAGUGAGAUUUUGAUAUAGGUCGGAAUAGAAUUCCGGAAGUUGCAGUAGCUCCGUUGUGUCAUUUGGAAUGUGUGUGCAAAAUUUCAGGUCAUUCGGACAUGGUUUGGUAGACUUUUGUUCAAAAGCGUAAUUCGGAAGAUUUUGGGAACCUUAGGCUUGAAUCCAAUGUGUUUUGGUUGAUACGAUGUUGUUUGACAUGUUUUGAAGAUUGGUAUAAGUUUGGAUAGUGGUAUAGGACUUGUUGGUGCUUUUGGUUGAGGUCCCGAGGGCCUUGGGAUGAUUUCGGAUGGUUGGCGGAAAGUUUGGAAUUUGAAAAUUGCAGCUAAAGUUUUUAGGACUGCUGUCAUAAUUGCAACUGCGGUUGGGAGGCUGCAGGUGCGACCUCCGCAGAUGCGGAGGACCAGUCACAGAAGCAGAAAGAGCCUAGGAAGGCAGGAACCGCAGAAGCAGUUGAGGAACCGCACCUGCGAUGGUGCGGGUACGGAUUAGGCAUCACAGAUGCGGAGAUUGAGGAUUUAAGUGAGUACCACAAAUGCGGUGUAUGGACCGCAAAAGCGGUAUCUGGACCGCAAGUGUGAAAAGCUUGGUCCAGAAGGUAUAAAAGCACCCCUUCAUGAUGUUUGAGUUGUUCUUCACAAUUUCAAGUCGAUGUUGGAGCUUUUUGGGAGAUUUUGAAGAGGGAAUCAAGGGAUAUCGUCUGGAGAUAAGAUUUUUGAGUCUAAUAAUCGAUCCUAUGGAAUUAUUUCACUGAUUUAGCCUAAGAUUAAUGGAAAUUAAGGGUUAAAAUUUGGGAAACUAGGUCUUGGUAUUGGAGAUCUUGGCUCGAGGAUUUGAGGGGCCAUUUGUGGUUGGAUUUUCGGACUUUUGAUAUGUAUGAACUCGUGGGAAGAUAAGGAAUCUAUUGAUGUAAAUUUUAUCUAAUUCCGAGACGUGGGCCCGGGGGUCGCGUUUUGGUUAAUUUCGGGAUUUAUGUUGUAAAUUGAUUAUUUUUGCAUGGGCUUCGUUUCCUUAGCAUAUUUUGACGUUGUGAUUCUGAUUUUGGAUAAAUUCAAUGCGAGUUGAGGCCGAUUCGAGGGGCAAAGGCGUCGCGGGCUGGAGUUUUGACUGGAUUGAGGUGAGUAAUGAUUUUAAAUGUUGUCAUGAGGGUAUGAAACCCCAGAUUACACAUCGUUGUGCUAUAAUGAGGUGACACACGUGCUAGAUGACGAGCAUGGGGUCGUACACCGUUGGAGAUUGUGACUUAGUCCGUCCCGAAUGACUGUUUUACCGCGUAUUUGAUUGAAAAUUGUUUGCUAUUAUCAUGUUUUGGGCGAAAUGCCAUAUUUGGGCCUUGUGCCAACUAUUUGGGCCCUUAGGGGAUUUUUACUGAUAUUUUCUCACUGUUUUGACUUUAUACUUGUACUCAGCCAUGUUUACUCUAUUUUAAUACAUUAAAUGAUAUUUUAAAUGAUAAUUUAGGCUGAGCAUCAUGUUUUAUUGUUGCCCAAGUGGCUUAUGAUAUUCUGACUGAGUAAGGCCGGGGGCCUGUGUUGCGAGGAUACACUGAUUUAUGAUUAUGAGGCUGAGGGCCUGCGUUGUACGCCACGAGGUGGCUUGAUAUGAGACUGAGAGCCUAUUGAUUAUACCACGAGAUGGCUUGAUAUCGCGCUGGGCCGUAAGGGGUCCCUCCCGGAGUCUGCACACCCCCAGUGAGCGCGAGUACCCAUUAUGAUAUGCGUAUAUAACACCAUCUGGUCACGGGUCAAUGUACAUGAAUGCAAUGCAUGAAAAGUACGUUAAUAAAAUCUUUCGGAAUGUCGUAAGACCAUUUUGACUUUGAGUAAUAUCAUAAAGUAAACUCUUUUCAAUUUUUGUAUUUUUUUGAGACCCAUGAACAGAUGAUAAUAUAUUAUGACACAUAGAAAUUCAAGAACAUAGAUAUCUCUAAUACUUCUAUGAAUAGAGUUUGUCACACCUCUUUUUUACACACCCGAAAGUAUAGAUAGGGAGUUUUCCCAAUUUAAGUGACAUUAUUCGAAAUGAGACUAUUUAAUUUAUUUCAGAUUCGCCACUUGGGAUAUUUAUUAUGGUGUCCCAAGUCACCGGUUUAUUUUAAGUCCCAAAUCGAGGAAAUUCAACUUUCCUUUGGAAGUCUGCGAACCAGAAAUUCUAAGUAAGGAAUUCUGUUAACCCGGGAGAAGGUGUUAGGCAUUCUCGGGUUCCGUGGUUCUAGCACGGUCGCUUAAACUAUUAUAAUUGGCCUAUUAUCUGAUUACAAUACAUGUUUUAGCCUAUGGUUCAAUUUCCUUAUUAACCGCUUUUAAUAAUUAUUGUUACAUAUUGUAAUCAUGUCACGGGAACCGUACCCACGAUCUGCAAUAUAUUUAGUUUUUAAAGAUUAAAUUGUGGUCGGGUCACAUAAAUGCACCCCGAGUUUUAGUAAUUAGGCGUCACAACUACGUCACGGGAACCGUACCCGUAGCUAUGACAAUUAAUCAAUUAACGUGCUUAAAGCAACUAAGAAAUUUCAGGCAAUUUCUAUACUAAUUUUUAUUUAUAUGAGGGCCAUAAAUUAUAGGAUUUUAUUUGUAUAUGGCACACCCCAAUUUAUUUGAUCUAAAUUUGUGAGGGCCAAGUAUUAUAGAUUUAAAGCAUGGCACACCUCAAGUUAUUCUUUAAAAAAAAAUUUAUAUUUUAAAGGCAAACUAAAGGUGCUCUCGUUUUUUACUAAUUUAAAAACUAGCUAUCACAACCACGUCACGGGAACCGUACCCGUAGUCGUAAAAUUUUUAAAAUCGCGCCUAAAACAAGCCACGAGUAUAAUGAUGCUAAACAACAAAGGUAAUGAACUAACAAUAUUGUUGCGAGACAGUUUGUUAACCUUUUCAUAGCAGAAACUCAAACUCCUACAAUAAGCAUGUUAUCAGAUACCUAUUUGAAGUGAAACAACGUUCUUUUGUAGAGAAAGUUAACAAUUAAUUGUAGUGGAAAUUGUAAUGUUUCAAAAUAAUGAUAAUAUCCCAACUCCCAUGCAUCAAAUCCAAGUGCUAAUGGAUAAGUAAUUUCUUACAAAGGUAAAGGACGGGUACAUUAUACCUAUAUGUCUAAAGAUCAACAGAUUUCCAAUGUCAAAUUUACCACUCACGUAUGCUAAUUUUACCUAAGAGCCGCAGGUCUCUUAAUUUGAGUUUACCAACAAAGACCAACUCUUGAGCCAACAACAACAAAGUUUAUAUAAACACACAUAGGCCAUUUAAUGAACUAAGUGACUAAGUAAUUAGAAAAGUCACAUAAUAUUAAGCUAAAUGAAAACAAGGGAAAUGAAUUUCUUAUCACUUCAAUUCAAUACAUGUCAAAUGAUGAGUAUAAAACAGUAAGCACCUAAAGUUAAUUUAAAAUAAAACUUUGAUUCAUGAGCUUCAAUUAAGUGACAACAAACUUAACGCCUCAAUCAUACUUCACUUUUGAUAAACGAGAAGGAACCAGUAAUUGAAAAUUGUAAAUGAGGAUAUUAAGUAAGAACACCAAGGUUUGUAUUUCAGUUACCCAUUUUCACAAUCAAAUUCACAAAACUUAACUUAUAGGCGAUCAAAGUCAGAGUUGAUUCGAAGAGCUCCAAACACAUUUUAAGACACACAGUUAAAUUAUGGACACUAACAGAUCUUUUUCGAUAACAAAUUAGGACAACUUCAAGCAAUAAAUCAGUCGUAAUUAAAGCAAGAAAAUUAAUCAAAUAAGUUAUAUAGUCAUGUUUAAAACUCAAAGCAGUCAAAUACCAAGUCAGUGAUCCCAAAAUCAAAUUAGAUUUGCAACCCAAUGUGUCUGAACCAAACAAAUCCAGAAUCGUAAAUGUUCAAUCUUAGAAGUAAAACCAACACACUUAGCGGGAAGAGAUGCAAACUGAAUAAACUUAAACGGAUAUCAAGAACGAACCUGUUAAGUAUGCUUUCUUUAUAGCAAUUAUAGAAUCGACAAAUACACUGUUUUCUUGACUCCAAAAUUCCAACGAGAUUCAACAACUGUAUCCAGUAGAAUUUGCAAGCCAAAUCGAAAUUUUGAAAGACCACUUUGGACAGAAUCAACAGAGUGCAAAAAAUUCAAAACUCCAUCCCCAAUAUUCAACUUGAGGAUUUAAACCAAACUUCCUUUCUAAAAAAAAAGAACAGAAAUCAAGAGAAAAGAAAACAAGGCUAGAAGAAAUAUGUUUCAGCAAUCUUUUUUUUUUUUGAUUUUUUCUCUUAAAAACCAAAACAAAUCUAGAAUGAAAACUAAAUUCAAGCCAUAUAAGACUUACCUCAUAUAUAUAGACUUCAAAAACUUCAAAAAAUCUGCCCAAAAUCCGAAAAUCCCUCGAGUUGUUUUGAACAAUUUUGGAACAAAUAGAGGGCGUGGAUUGAUUCACAUCUAUCCACGGCUCCCAUUCAUCCAACAAUUGUCGUCUUUAUACAUAAAUCCACGAUUUUGAGUGAAUAUUCGUACUCCUCUCUGACAAAUCCAUUGGGAAAUAGAGGUGACAUGGAGAGGAGGGGACCAAUGAGUGAACUCGGGUGAUCUUCAGGCGAGUUGGGUUGGGCUCAGUGAAGAAGAUGAAUAGUAGCGCCGUUUCUCUGAUUUCUAUAGGGUUUAGGAAUUUGGGGGAAAUGUUUGAGAGGGAUUAUAUAUUGAGGGAAAUGGGGCGGGUCGGUUUGGCGGGUUAGCUCGAUUUGGGUUGGGGCUGUAGGGAAAUAUUUGGGCUGGGGGAAUUAAACUAAGGAUGGCCCAAAUCAAUUCUUUUCUAA